Chlorocebus sabaeus (green monkey) is the source of this 124-nucleotide small nuclear RNA. Its record names the gene U4. It matches the Rfam family "U4 spliceosomal RNA". Rfam says of the family: U4 small nuclear RNA (U4 snRNA) is a component of the major U2-dependent spliceosome. The structure of U4 snRNA from yeast and human has been reported. Lineage: Eukaryota; Metazoa; Chordata; Mammalia; Primates; Cercopithecidae. The record is from Ensembl.
AGAUUUGCUUAGUGGCAGUAUCAUAGCCAAAGGAAUGAUUAUUGCUAAUUGAAAACUUUUCCCAAUAUCCUGCCAUGAUGACUUGAAAUAUAGUCAGCAUUGGCAAUUUUGAGUCUCUAUGGAA